Molecule: ribosomal RNA, 273 nt
Filed under: uncultured bacterium
Lineage: Bacteria
Description: partial 16S ribosomal RNA
Rfam family: Bacterial small subunit ribosomal RNA
Source: RNAcentral
AUACGUAUGUCGCAAGCGUUAUCCGGAAUUAUUGGGCGUAAAGCGAGUCUAGGCGGCUUGUUAAGUCAGAUGUGAAAAUGCGGGGCUCAACUCCGUAUUGCGUUUGAAACUGGCAGGCUAGAGUACUGGAGAGGUGGGCGGAACUACAAGUGUAGAGGUGAAAUUCGUAGAUAUUUGUAGGAAUGCCGAUAGUGAAGACAGCUCACUGGACAGAUACUGACGCUAAAGCUCGAAAGCGUGGGGAGCGAACAGGAUUAGAUACCCUUGUAGUCC